This 2423-nucleotide long non-coding RNA is filed under the name Triticum aestivum (bread wheat). RNAcentral describes it as "long non-coding RNA (TAES_LNC009371)". The record is from RNAcentral. Lineage: Eukaryota; Viridiplantae; Streptophyta; Magnoliopsida; Poales; Poaceae.
UCUCCCCUAAUAUCUCCCGAUUCCAAUCGCAGCAGCACCGUCUCCUCCACCUCGACCAGAUCCAUUCCCCCCGCCUCGCACGCACCUUCGUCCUGCUCUCCUCGCCGUCGAGCAUCACGGCCACGGCCAGCUCCGCCCCCUGCCUCUCCAAAACCUCAUCCACUAAUCAAGCCGCCCAUCCUCAUCUUGAUUCACGCUUUUUUUCAGGUCAAAUCAGGUGCUCCAGCGGCUGAAGCGGCCACCGGAGUUGCACCGGCCGGCCGGAGAACCUACAGUGGAUUGCAAAAUCCACCCCCACCACCCCAAUUACAAGCGCCCCGUAUUGAAAUCGAAGGUAUUGCAGUGCAUCUACUGGCCCAGAUUUGACUAUCCAACAACCAAGAGUACUCAUUUGUUUGUAUGUUCAUUGGCUGUGUAGUAUUGCUCUCGUGAUGUGUAGGCCAUUUAUCAUCAAACUUUUUGUAGGCCGAGCUUUGUAGAUAUUUAGAAUAACCCAUAGCUACGUAUGCAAGCAAUCGUGGCUAUUCCUUAAUUUCAAUAUUCAGUGCAUCGAAUGAUUGUGAGAAAUGUAGAGGAAACAUUGUUUCAUUGCUUCCUGUAUAAAAGGCUUCCAAAUAUACGCAUGCGCAGUUGGCGGCAAUUUUUUUUUUGCUUUCAUUUAUCAAGAUUUCAUGCUUCCACCCAACACUAUUAAUGCACCAUUUGCAUUAUUUUCCAGCUUCAUACCUCUAGAAAAAUGGAAGCAUGACCAUACCAAAUAUAUGCAUCGAGGGUUGUUUGUUAGGUUACUGCUGAAAGUCUUGUUUGUUAGUAUUCUUUGGUUUAAAUUAUUCCAAGCAAUUACUAUUAGGUGGGAGCUUCCAAAUAUAUGCAUCUGCAGUUGGCAGAAUUUUUUUUGGUUUCAUUUCCAAAAUUUACAUGCUUCCACCCAACAAUAAUAAUGCACCACUUUUGUUAUUUGCCUGCUUCAUACCUCUAGAAAAAUGGAAGAAUAAUCAUGCCCCCCAUCCCGUACCUCUAUCCCCAAAUCACCGCUUUUCUCGUUCCUCUCUCCUCACCUCGCCGACAAGCUCUCCAUCUGCCAUGCCGCCCUAUUCUCUUCUCGAGCGUCGCCUGACCCUGGUCACCGUCAAGCUCACCCUCCCUGCCCUGCUUCCAGCGCACUGCACCUCUGGCCGACCAAUGAUAUUCUCCGUUUUCAUGAUCCAGGACGACCAGAUAUGUAUGUACGUGUGCAAUCUACUUCUUUUACUUACAAUUCACAGUCUGUUCUGGUCGUCCGGAGUAAAUUAUUCCAUUGAUUUCCGUUGAGAUCUGUUGAGAUCUAUAGCAUACGUAGGAUGUUAGAUCGGUAGCAAAUAUCACAUCUUCUCCAAAUCAAUCCGUGACCGAUCGAUCUUUGAAAAGAUAUGACAUAAAAAUAGUGUUUCAUGUCUCCCUUGCUUCAUUGGACUGUUAGAUGUGCUUCUUAUGCACAGAUAUGUUCCGCUCACAUCUAUCUUUCUUGACUUAGGGAAUAUCUGAUUGGUUUCAAUUUGUUUGUCAAUUUUAGUCAGUUUUUAUGCUUCGAGUGACAACACCAAAUUAUUUCUUCUUGUCAACCAUGCUUGCUACUUUUAUUUAUUGGUUGCGUAUAUUUGUGUGGUAGUGGAUUUUUGCUUGAACUGCUACUAAUAUGGGCUUCAGUCACUAUCAACUUAAUUUGCAUUUGCUUCCUUUAGUAAAAUUUGUUUCGAGCACUAUCUGUGUGUGCUUCCUCGUUCAUCAACGAUGUUUCUGUCGUGCUUCCUACAUUAGUAUUUUUUUUCUGUUAUCAUAGUAAUCUUUGUUUCAAGCACUAUAUGCUUGUGCCUCCCUGUUUACCGCUGAUGCUUCUGUUUUGCAGACAUUUUACAGCACCUUAUUAUUCCAACAAUGCCUUUUUGUUCCCAAUACAAUUCCAAUGAUGGUACCAUCACACUGAGUGUGCUUUCGACGGGACCAGACGUCGAUUUAUGUUCGCUGACUGCCUUUUCAAGGAUAGAGAGCUUAUGGCGCGCGUACAAGAUCAAUCAGUUCAGCAGGCACUGUGACUUAGGCUAGGCAAAAAUGAAAAUAUUGUUGUUGUAAAUUGUUUCUUAUUUCUUCUUGUAAAAAUAGGUGUAAACCGUUACUCAUAUCGAGUAUAUUUGUAUACAUGGUCUGUGAGUUCUGUCAUGCUUCUACACUCUGAAGCAAUAUUGAUACAAUCAGGAAGCAACUAACAUGAGCAUGUGCAUGCAUUUUGGUUUACUAUUGAAGCAGAGAAUGGAAGGAAUUUUUAAACAUGCUUUUUUUCUUAUUUAUUUGUUGAAGAAGCACCAAAUGAGAACUUAUGAAGCUUCACAAAAUUAUAUAGGAAGCAAGUAAUGAAUUGCAUACAUAGUGAACAUGCACUAACUCCG